UGGUAGAUGUGGCGGUGGCGGACUCCCGGGAUGGCAGGCUGGUCGCUGUGCUCUGCACGUCGUCAGGGGCUCUGCCGUGUGUUAUAUAUCAGCACAUUGUCCCUGACCCCAGUGCAUUGUCACUCAGCCUGGCUGUCCUCUGUAUGCUGCUGCC
Long non-coding RNA from Bufo bufo (common toad), 154 nucleotides. RefSeq lists it as uncharacterized. The transcript is spliced from 3 exons. NCBI's taxonomy places the organism in Eukaryota, Metazoa, Chordata, Amphibia, Anura, Bufonidae. The record is from RefSeq and is a predicted model, not a curated record.